RNAcentral lists this ribosomal RNA (169 nucleotides) under Pterodon pubescens. RNAcentral describes it as "5.8S ribosomal RNA". It matches the Rfam family "5.8S ribosomal RNA". From Rfam's summary of the family: 5.8S ribosomal RNA (5.8S rRNA) is a component of the large subunit of the eukaryotic ribosome. It is transcribed by RNA polymerase I as part of the 45S precursor that also contains 18S and 28S rRNA. The record is from RNAcentral. Lineage: Eukaryota; Viridiplantae; Streptophyta; Magnoliopsida; Fabales; Fabaceae.
GCACACAACGACUCUCGGCAACGGAUAUCUCGGCUCUCGCAUCGAUGAAGAACGUAGCGAAAUGCGAUACUUGGUGUGAAUUGCAGAAUCCCGCGAACCAUCGAGUCUUUGAACGCAAGUUGCGCCCGAAGCCGUCAGGCCGAGGGCACGUCUGCCUGGGCGUCACGCG